This is a long non-coding RNA of Mauremys reevesii (Reeves's turtle), 648 nucleotides long. RefSeq lists it as uncharacterized. The transcript has 3 exons. The record is from RefSeq and is a predicted model, not a curated record. NCBI's taxonomy places the organism in Eukaryota, Metazoa, Chordata, Testudines, Geoemydidae.
GGAUGCACGCUGCCAGCCCCUGAAGAGGGAGAGCCUGCGCGCGCUAGGAGUCAGCCAAGCUGAGACACUACCUGGGACCCCGAGGAGGACGCCACAGGGGAGAAACAGAUCGGAGGACCCCCUGCCCCAGAUGAACUGGUAUUCACGCUGUUUCCACACACACUUCCACUUUCUGGGGAUGCCACCCCAAAACUCCUCUAUAAAGCCACUCCAUCAAACGUCGCUUCUGAUGCAAGUGGUCAACCACCUAAUGAGGGCCAGACGGAGGGACAGUCAGAAGUUUGCUACAGUUGUUACAGUUUAAUUAAUUAAUUCAGCACUCAUUGAACCUGCCAAGAACAUAUGGCUGACCCCCGCUACCAUCCCGCCCACAUCUAAGAAAGCAGACAAAAAAUACUACAUCCCUCCAAAAGAGAUGGACUUUCUUUUCACACACCCUUAGCCAAAUUCAUUGGUAGUUAAUGCAGUUAACAAAAAGGACAAACAACAUUCCUCCAGAACCACCCCUUCUGAUAAGGAGUGGAAAUGAGUAGACUUACUCGGCCACAACGCCUACAUAUCAGCAACACUUCACUUCCGAACCGCCAACUAUGAAGCCUUUAUGGCAAAAUAUGACUACGUAAACUAUUCCAAAUUUUCUGACUUUGA